UAGCGUCGGAACGUACCGAGUAAUGGGGGAUAACGCGGCGAAAGUCGCGCUAAUACCGCAUGCGCCCUGAGGGGGAAAGCGGGGGAUCGCAAGACCUCGCGUUAUUCGAGCGGCCGACGUCUGAUUAGCUAGUUGGUGGGGUAAAGGCUCACCAAGGCGACGAUCAGUAGCGGGUCUGAGAGGGUGAUCCGCCACACUGGGACUGAGACACGGCCCAGACUCCUACGGGAGGCAGCAGUGGGGAAUUUUGGACAAUGGGGGCAACCCUGAUCCAGCCAUUCCGCGUGAGUGAAGAAGGCCUUCGGGUUGUAAAGCUCUUUCAGCUGGAGCGAAACGGUACGCUCUAACAUAGCGUGCUAAUGACGGUACCAGCAGAAGAAGCACCGGCUAACUACGUGCCAGCAGCCGCGGUAAUCAGCGGGGGAUCGCAAGACCUCGCGUUAUUCGAGCGGCCGACGUCUGAUUAGCUAGUUGGUGGGGUAAAGGCUCACCAAGGCGACGAUCAGUAGCGGGUCUGAGAGGAUGAUCCGCCACACUGGGACUGAGACACGGCCCAGACUCCUAUGGGAGGCAGCAGUGGGGAAUUUUGGACAAUGGGGGCAACCCUGAUCCAGCCAUUCCGCGUGAGUGAAGAAGGCCUUCGGGUUGUAAAGCUCUUUCAGCUGGAGCGAAACGGUACGCUCUAACAUAGCGUGCUAAUGACGGUACCAGCAGAAGAAGCACCGGCUAACUACGUG
This 737-nucleotide ribosomal RNA is filed under the name uncultured beta proteobacterium. RNAcentral describes it as "bacterial SSU rRNA". The stretch from base 1 to 432 matches the Rfam family "Bacterial small subunit ribosomal RNA", at positions 113 to 538 of the family's 1533-position model. Lineage: Bacteria; Pseudomonadati; Pseudomonadota; Betaproteobacteria. The record is from RNAcentral.